RNAcentral lists this ribosomal RNA (253 nucleotides) under uncultured bacterium. RNAcentral's name for it is "partial 16S ribosomal RNA". It matches the Rfam family "Bacterial small subunit ribosomal RNA", at positions 524 to 776 of the family's 1533-position model. The record is from RNAcentral.
UACGGAGGGUGCAAGCGUUGUUCGGAAUUACUGGGCGUAAAGAGCGUGUAGGCGGCCAGUCAAGUCAGAUGUGAAAUCCCUGAGCUUAACUCAGGAAUUGCAUCUGAAACUGAUCGGCUCGAGUACAGGAGAGGAAGGUGGAAUUCCUGGUGUAGAGGUGAAAUUCGUAGAUAUCGGGAAGAACACCGGUGGCGAAGGCGGCCUUCUGGCCUGAUACUGACGCUGAGACGCGAAAGCGUGGGGAGCAAACAGG